UUGCUGGCACUGAGGAUGUGACAGUGAGCCAAGCUGGUCAAGUCUCCACACUGGCGGAGCUCACAUCCCAGGAGGGAGUCAGAAGAUAAACAAACACAUAAAUAUUUGGUGCUGUGUUAGUGUCCUGGCAGGAAACACAUGGUGCACUCGAGUCGGGUACUGAGGAGAGUUUAAAUAUCAAGUAUUGAUUAAGAUGUGGGCAUGAAUAAGGGAAGUCAACAAGGAGAAGAGAAGCACCCCCGGACGCCAACGCAGUGGGGCAAGGUUUUCCAAGAUCCUCCUGAAUCAACCCUGCUCAGCAUAGAGGAGCUGGGGAAGCAGCGAGAUCCCAUUGCUCCAGGAAGGACAACAAGCCCCAGAGGGACAGUCAGCACUCUAGGUCACUGUGGCCACUCACAUUCUCCUCCUGUACAUCCUGCUUCUCUAUUCUUGAACCUUGAUCCCCCUCACCCUCAAAGUAGGGGUUUUCUAUUCUUCAUAAUGGGAUUUUAAUUGGUUACAUAUGACUAUUACCCAAUUCCAGAGUAACAAUGAUAUUUCGCUUAUUGGACAAUCAUCCAGGCACAUCUUUUCUCAUAACAGGGGCAGAGAAUUGGUAUAUGUAAUGACAGCUCCAACUCUUGACAUAUUUAUUAAUGGUAUCCUGGUUCUAACUAAUUGCACAAAAAUUUACACGAUUCUUGACCUCUUCAACACAGAGAACAUUUUGUUAUGCAAUUUUUGAAGGCUAAAAGUUCAGAAUCUCCUGUAAGGGCUGAAUCCACACCAAACAAGGUCAAGAGCUCAUUUAUCAAGGAGUAAUCUCUUUCCUACCUCCACAUUUCACAUGUGCAAUGCAGAAUCUUUCUGGCCACUUCAUUACUUUCUAUUAUUUUUAUGUUAUCUGUCAAAUAAGACAAAGCCUAGCUUUCCUAGUAUAUUAACCUAUUUUGAUGAGCAAUAACUUCUUAAUACUGCGAAUGGUGUGAUCAUUAUCACUUUUAUGGAUGGAGCACUUCCUGUGUGCCAGGCACCAGUUAUGUGCUGCACUCACCUCACCGCACUUUAUCCUCAUUACCCGCCAGCCCCCAACCCUGGGUGGUGGGUUCUGCUGUUACAGAUGAGCAAACCAAGGCUCAGGGAGGUUACGUCACUGCACAAGGUGACACACCCAGUGCAUCUGUGGCAGUCCAGGAUUCGGACGCAGGUCUAACUUUCUCCAAAGUCAUCUCAUUUGUAACUGCUACAUGGAAAAAUUGGAAUUGGCCUAUGAAAUAGACAAUGCUCAUUCAGUACAACGAAUAUAGAAAGAAAACUCCAAUCUGUGAACCCCCAGGAAGCACUUAAUAAGCACCAGGCACUGUUGUAAGCACUUGUCAAAUAGGAACUCGUUACGAUCUCAGAAUGACCCUAUGAGGUAGGAACUGUGAUGAUUUCCAGUUUACAGGUGAAGCAGUUACAGCACCAAUAGGUUAGAUAAGUUGCCCAAGGCCAUGGCCCUGUCAGCAGCAGGGCAGAGUUUGGAGCCGAGGAAGUCCAGCCCUAGAUCUAGGGAAGAUGCCGACCCUCUAUCCCACCUGAGAACAGCAGAAGCUUGGGACUCUCUCCUGGCUGUCGGUCAUCUCCAUUAAAACCAACAAAUCCAACGUUUCCUCCACCAUUCUCAGCAUGGAGAGGUUUGGGGUUCUCUUUGGAAAUCAGCAGGCAAUGUUUGUUCUGGAUCAGUCAGGCCAGCCCAGAUUUCUUUCAGUUGAAUACAUAUCUUCAACCCCCUUUGGGGAAAAAAAAGCAGUGGAGAAAAUCUGGUUUCUGAGUCAGUGUUUGUGAAAUCUGCAUGUUCCCUUGGUAUAAAUUGGGCUUUGGACUGA
Molecule: long non-coding RNA, 1847 nt
Organism: Homo sapiens (human)
Lineage: Eukaryota; Metazoa; Chordata; Mammalia; Primates; Hominidae
Exons: 3
Source: RefSeq, a predicted model, not a curated record